This 1050-nucleotide ribosomal RNA is filed under the name Hyperdermium bertonii. RNAcentral's name for it is "LSU rRNA". It matches the Rfam family "Eukaryotic large subunit ribosomal RNA", at positions 1 to 1069 of the family's 3401-position model. The record is from RNAcentral. Lineage: Eukaryota; Fungi; Ascomycota; Sordariomycetes; Hypocreales; Cordycipitaceae.
GACUUUCUGAACGUUGACCUCGGAUCAGGUAGGACUACCCGCUGAAAUUAAGCAUAUCAAUAAGCGGAGGAAAAGAAACCAACAGGGAUUGCCCCAGUAACGGCGAGUGAAGCGGCAACAGCUCAAAUUUGAAAUCUGGCCCCCAGGGCCCGAGUUGUAAUUUGUAGAGGAUGCUUUUGGCGCGGUGCCUUCCGAGUUCCCUGGAACGGGACGCCAUAGAGGGUGAGAGCCCCGUCUGGUCGGACACCAAGCCUCUGUAAAGCUCCUUCGACGAGUCGAGUAGUUUGGGAAUGCUGCUCAAAAUGGGAGGUAUAUGUCUUCUAAAGCUAAAUAUUGGCCAGAGACCGAUAGCGCACAAGUAGAGUGAUCGAAAGAUGAAAAGCACUUUGAAAAGAGGGUUAAACAGUACGUGAAAUUGUUGAAAGGGAAGCGCCUGUGACCAGACUUGGGCCCGGUGAAUCACCCAGCGUUCUCGCUGGUGCACUUUGCCGGGCACAGGCCAGCAUCAGUUUGGCGCGGGGGACAAAGGCUGUGGGAAUGUGGCUCCCCCGGGAGUGUUAUAGCCCACUGCGCAAUACCCUGCGCCGGACUGAGGUACGCGCUCCGCAAGGAUGCUGGCGUAAUGGUCAUCAGCGACCCGUCUUGAAACACGGACCAAGGAGUCGUCUUCGUAUGCGAGUGUUCGGGUGUCAAACCCCUACGCGUAAUGAAAGUGAACGCAGGUGAGAGCUUCGGCGCAUCAUCGACCGAUCCUGAUGUUCUCGGAUGGAUUUGAGUAAGAGCAUACGGGGCCGGACCCGAAAGAAGGUGAACUAUGCCUGUAUAGGGUGAAGCCAGAGGAAACUCUGGUGGAGGCUCGCAGCGGUUCUGACGUGCGAAUCGAUCGUCAAAUAUGGGCAUGGGGGCGAAAGACUAAUCGAACCUUCUAGUAGCUGGUUUCCGCCGAAGUUUCCCUCAGGAUAGCAGUGUUGGACUCAGUUUUAUGAGGUAAAGCGAAUGAUUAGGGACUCGGGGGCGCUAUAUUGCCUUCAUCCAUUCUCAAACUUUAAA